AGUGGCGGACGGGUGAGUAACGCGUGAGAAUCUGCCUUGGGGUCGGGGACAACCACUGGAAACGGUGGCUAAUACCGGAUAAGCCGAUUGGUGAAAGAUUUAUUGCCCGAAGAGGAGCUCGCGUCUGAUUAGCUAGUUGGUGAGGUAAGAGCUCACCAAGGCAGCGAUCAGUAGCUGGUCUGAGAGGACGAUCAGCCACACUGGGACUGAGACACGGCCCAGACUCCUACGGGAGGCAGCGGUGGGGAAUUUUCCGCAAUGGGCGAAAGCCUGACGGAGCAAGACCGCGUGAGGGAGGAAGGCUCUUGGGUUGUAAACCUCUUUUCUCAGGGAAGAAGCUCUGACGGUACCUGAGGAAUCAGCCUCGGCUAACUCCGUGCCAGCAGCCGCGGUAAUACGGAGGAGGCAAGCGUUAUCCGGAAUUAUUGGGCGUAAAGCGUCCGCAGGUGGCGAUUCAAGUCUGCUGUCAAAGCACGGGGCUUAACUCCGUAAAGGCAGUGGAAACUGAAUAGCUAGAGUGCCGUAGGGGUAGAGGGAAUUCCCGGUGUAGCGGUGAAAUGCGUAGAGAUCGGGAAGAACAUCGGUGGCGAAAGCGCUCUACUGGACGGCAACUGACACUCAGGGACGAAAGCUAGGGGAGCGAAUGGGAUUAGAUACCCC
RNAcentral lists this ribosomal RNA (660 nucleotides) under uncultured bacterium. RNAcentral describes it as "bacterial SSU rRNA". It matches the Rfam family "Bacterial small subunit ribosomal RNA", at positions 94 to 788 of the family's 1533-position model. The record is from RNAcentral.